Molecule: long non-coding RNA, 782 nt
Organism: Benincasa hispida (wax gourd)
Lineage: Eukaryota; Viridiplantae; Streptophyta; Magnoliopsida; Cucurbitales; Cucurbitaceae
Source: RefSeq, a predicted model, not a curated record
UUCUUCUCAGCUGUACCGUUGAAAAUGGAGUUUUCAAGAAUUCUCAGCGAUAUCCCUCAAGCCCCAGCCUUGAGUUCAGCCAACUGCAGACUUCAUUCAUCUCUUUUGGGAUUGUGUAAUGCCCCAGCCUGCAAACAAGAUCAUUUUGGCUGAGUUUCUUUGGAAGGAGGUUCUGAUAGCAACAAAAAGGAUUAUAAAUAUUUGGGUCUGAAGAAUGGAUUCUAUAGCUCAACAAGAUCAUUGAUAACACACUCACCACUAAGUGGCUACACAGAGGUUAGACUUAGGUAACCUAUUGGAAGAGGGGAAAACUUUAUCAGAAAAUUGACAUUUGGCUGUGAGAAAAUACUCUUAUUUUGAGAGCUUUAACUUCAACUACCUCUUGCAAAAUAAAAGCCAACUUGUGAGUGCAUGGCCAAGAAGAAUCUACAUCAAUUUUCUGGUUGACCAAACACCAAUGAUCAGAAUAAAGAAAAAAAAAAAUAAUUUAAAAAGAUGACGUGGCAUACUGUUACUGGUUUGUUUGUUUUAAAUUACAAUUGAAGCAUCUACUCUUCUCUCCUGGUCAAUGUUUGAGCACUUUUCCUUCCUUUAUGGAAAGGGCAACUUUUCUGUUUGUCAACUCCUCCUCCACCCCACCCUUUAAAAUAGAGAGAUAAUCCAACUUGAUUAUAGAAUUGGUUUGUGCUUAAUUGUGGGCUUAAUUUUUUAACAAGAAACAACAUAUGCUGUUGGCACUAAUCUUUGUUGAGCAUUAAUAUACUUCAUUAUGAAAUUUUACU